This 468-nucleotide ribosomal RNA is filed under the name uncultured bacterium. Its description in RNAcentral is "bacterial SSU rRNA". It matches the Rfam family "Bacterial small subunit ribosomal RNA", at positions 28 to 507 of the family's 1533-position model. The record is from RNAcentral.
GAUGAACGCUAGCGGCAGGCUUAAUACAUGCAAGUCAAGGGGUCAGCAAUGACACCGGCGGACGGGUGAGUAACGCGUACACAACGUACCUUUAACUGGGGGAUAGCAUUUGGAAACGAGUGGUAAUACCACAUGUGGUUGUAGGGAGGCAUCUUUUUGCAACUAAAACUCAGGUGGUUAAAGAUCGGUGUGCGUCUGAUUAGCUUGUUGGUGAGGUAACGGCUCACCAAGGCUACGAUGCAUAGGGGGGUCUGAGAGGAUGAUCCCCCACACUGGUACUGAGACACGGACCAGACUCCUACGGGAGGCAGCAGUAGGGAAUAUUGGGCAAUGGACGAAAGUCUGACCCAGCCACGCCGCGUGAAGGAUGACUGCCCUAUGGGUUGUAAACUUCUUUUGUAUGGGAAGAAAUUCCGAACGUGUUCGGAGCUGACGGUACCAUAAGAAUAAGCAUCGGCUAACUCCGUG